Molecule: ribosomal RNA, 402 nt
Filed under: uncultured bacterium
Lineage: Bacteria
Description: bacterial SSU rRNA
Rfam family: Bacterial small subunit ribosomal RNA
Source: RNAcentral
UGGGGAAUCUUGGACAAUGGGGGCAACCCUGAUCCAGCGAUGCCGCGUGAGCGAAGAAGGCCUUAGGGUUGUAAAGCUCUUUCGCCCGCGACGAUGAUGACGGUAGCGGGAGAAGGAGCCCCGGCUAACUCCGUGCCAGCAGCCGCGGUAAUACGGAGGGGGCUAGCGUUGUCCGGAAUUACUGGGCGUAAAGCGCGCGUAGGCGGUCCACCAAGUCGGGGGUGAAAGCCCGGGGCUCAACCCCGGAAUGUCCUCCGAGACUGUUGGACUGGAGUUCGGGAGAGNAGAGCGGAAUUCCCAGUGUAGAGGUGAAAUUCGUAGAUAUUGGGAAGAACACCGGUGGCGAAGGCGGCUCUCUGGCCCGCAACUGACGCUGAGGCGCGAAAGCGUGGGGAGCAAACA